Molecule: long non-coding RNA, 329 nt
Organism: Gallus gallus (chicken)
Lineage: Eukaryota; Metazoa; Chordata; Aves; Galliformes; Phasianidae
Source: Ensembl
CAGAAUUCAUAUAAAAUCUUGUAAGCCUCAUUUCUUCUGAUACGAUCCUGAUUUUACAUAAAAGAAAAUUCAUCUCAACUGCUCGGAGAGGUCCCUAAGUUGGGCUAACCUCUGCUGGAGGUCAUCCAAACAAGUGCAAGCCCUGAAGCAGGAAGUUCUGACUUGAGGCUGAAAGAUAGUGUUACUUCUGGGGGAAUUGCUCACAGAAUAUUUAUCUUGGAAAGCCUCACUUGGUCACAUCUCUACUGGCUUUGGAGAUGGGAGCUGCAUGUGCAUAAUCCUUCUGCACAAUUUAGUCUUCUUUGAAAUGACAGGUCUAUCUAGCUGGC